Molecule: long non-coding RNA, 210 nt
Filed under: Trifolium pratense (red clover)
Lineage: Eukaryota; Viridiplantae; Streptophyta; Magnoliopsida; Fabales; Fabaceae
Description: long non-coding RNA (TPRA_LNC011413)
Source: RNAcentral
AAAAGAUUAUAAGAUUUGCCAAUUAUAACAGACAUCGCUUAUAUAUACAAAGCAUGUAUAUGAACUAGAUGGCUUCUCUUACAGUGAGUGCAGUGCAAGACAACGCUAAGUGCAGAUGUUGGGAUUUGGCAUUUGUUGUUAAUGUCUUCCUCAGUUUUAUGCUUAUUUGUUUCCUUCUGUCGUAUUUUGGGCUGGCUGGUUUUGACCCCC